UACGAAGGGGACUAGCGUUGUUCGGAAUUACUGGGCGUAAAGCGCACGUAGGCGGAUUUGUUAGUCAGGGGUGAAAUCCCGGAGCUCAACUUCGGAAUUGCCUUUGAUACUGUUGGUCUCGAGUCCGGAAGAGGUGGGUGGAAUUCCUAGUGUAGAGGUGAAAUUCGUAGAUAUUAGGAAGAACACCGGUGGCGAAGGCGGCCCACUGGUCCGGUACUGACGCUGAGGUGCGAAAGCGUGGGGAGCAAACAGG
This 253-nucleotide ribosomal RNA is filed under the name uncultured bacterium. RNAcentral's name for it is "partial 16S ribosomal RNA". It matches the Rfam family "Bacterial small subunit ribosomal RNA", at positions 524 to 776 of the family's 1533-position model. The record is from RNAcentral.